RNAcentral lists this long non-coding RNA (27148 nucleotides) under Nicotiana benthamiana. Its description in RNAcentral is "long non-coding RNA (NBEN_LNC020333)". Lineage: Eukaryota; Viridiplantae; Streptophyta; Magnoliopsida; Solanales; Solanaceae. The record is from RNAcentral.
GUCUCUCAAAUUCUGUCUAACACUCGAAACCCUAGCUACCUAUAUCGUCGUCUCCGACCAGUUCUCACUGGAGUCUGUGGCUUCUCAGACCAUGAACAGCCUGUGCUCACUUCCCCUCACCCCAAAUCUUGGGUAUUCAAGGUCUUCAAGGUCUAGCCUUGACCAGGCCUGUUCAGAUCCUCCGCCGACCUGAGAUCCCUUGGCUUCUUAGGCUCCGUUCCGGCAUGUUCGAGCUUUGACAAGGCUUAGCCAUGGUCCAGCUUUGUUCUAAGAUCAGAUCUUUCCGGAGCCUUCUCAUUCCUAGGUUUUUGGAGAAUACCUAAAGAAGCUAUUUCGAGGUUCUAUCUUUCCUUGUUUUCUUAGAUCUAUAACAGAUCUGUGUUCUACUCGAUGUUUUAAUGCUUUUCCCAAUUUUCCUUUUUUAAAUUAGUCUGCUCGAAAUUAGGGUUUUCAAAAAUCCUAAAACGAUUCCUCUUCUUCUUCUUAUUUCUUUAUGUGAAUCUGUAUGUCCAUGCCAUAUCUUAUGUGUUUUCGUUCAUUCUUAUGAUUUGCUGUUAACAUGCACUUGUCUCUAUCUUUACUCCAUUAUUGCUUCUACUAGUUUCUCCAAGUAUGAUUUAUAUGUUUAUCUUGCAUGUCCUUUGCUAUUUCUCCUACUGAGAUUGUUUGCCUUUAAUGGAUUCAUUUGGUUUCUAAAUUUGUUUCUUUUACUACUUCCAAAAAUUCUAUGGCAUCUCUUCUCUCUUCUGACUUCACUUGAGUUCUGAGCUUUCUCUUAAACUUGUUCUUUACAAUUUUGUCAGCCUACUACUUCUAACUUGCUACGUGUGUUUGUGUAUUUCCUUAAGGGACUCUGAAAGAAUUCCCUAAGCUUAUUGUGAGGGCUUGCCCUCUCUUUUUUGUAUCCUACUCGAAUUGAAACCCUAUGUCUGGGAUUUUUUGCGUGUUUUGAUUCUAGGGUUCUACUCUAGAAACCCCGGGCCCUCAAACUCGUGCCGAGUUUAUAAACUAAACUGAAACUUGCUUUUAGCUUAUGAUUUUGAAACUUUUUAUGCCGAUCUUUUCAUUCUUGCUUGACACUAUUAUGCUUUAUAUGCAAGGGUUUCCCUCUGAAUUGAUUUUGUUAGCUUAUGAUCGAUUUCAAUAUCCUUUUACUAGGUCUCGAUUGAUUUUCUACUGAUUUUUACGACUUAACCUCUUUCCCUCUUUGCCUGACUAAGUUCAGUCAAUAAUUUUCAAUUUCUGGCUGUUUGAUUACUUUAUUUCUUUAUUCUUUCAAAAUCGUGUACAAUAGGCUUCUUACCUUAAAUACACCCUGUGAACUUACCUUUAUUAUGCUACUCUAAAAAAGUUUUCAUUAUUUUCCUUUCCUUAAUUACUCAUUCUCGUUUGAAAUCAAAUACCUCUGACUAAGGGAGAUCCUAUUUGAUUGAUUGAAAUUUUAUUUCCUUGCGUUUAGUUUACUCGGUUUUUGCACUAUAAAAAGAGACAACCUUUUCAAAUCUAGACAGUUCUCAACACAGUUCCUUUUGCACCUUUUCUAUACACCUUACACAUUACAAAAUCAAAAAUACUUCUUUUUCAAUACUGAAUAACAGUUCCCUCUCUACUAUUGCUUUCUCUACUACCACUACUACUGAACACUCUGCUCCUUUCUCUCCUACUGUCUGAAUAUUCUUGAGCUCCUCUGAACUCCCAAAUGCUUGCUGAAGUUUUUGAGUUGUUUCGAUUAAGUGUCUGGCUGCCUACUUGCUGUUGUUUCUCUGUUGUACUAGAAUUGCAACUGGUACGUAUUUCUAAUUAAAUAACACAUUCCAACUAUGUGUGUUCACUUCUCUUCUUCUACACAUUCUUCACUAUGUGUGUUUAUGUCCUAUAACUGGAGCAUGUUCUAUUCUUUCUUCUAUGUCCUUGCAUAUGUAGUCUGCUAUGCUUUCUUAUGAUUUCCUUAAUGUUAGUGUAUGCUUUUGUAUGGAAAUCCCUUCCCAAUAUUCCCUUUUUUCUGUGUGAGUAUAGUUAUGAACCAUGUCAGCACCUUAUAUUGCUGUCCAUGAUCCAGAACUAGACUCUCUUGAGUCUUUACUCAAAUGCUUUCCCAUUCACUCUCCCCUUUAUGUGUUGAGAUUUAACUUGGGUCUGGUAGUGUCCUAAUCACCACUCAGACCCUAAGUUUGACUCCCCAGAGUCUGAUCCUAUUUGUUUGAGCUAGGCAGGGGGUCAGGGGUGUGCCAGCCUAUGCCAUAGCUGGGUAUGACCACUCUCUGCUAUGGUUCCUCUCUCACUUUUCACUCAUUCCUAGAUUCCUAAGUUCUACCCCCUUUGGUAACCCAUGCUUUGGGACUCUAGAGUUCCCUCUGAACUUGGAUGCCUGAGGGCUCGUAAUUCCACACUUGCACUAUUCUGUUAGAAUAUUUAUUAUUCAGAGUGUAAGCAUUGCCUGGGGUCCUGGAGGCUCCUUGGAACUUUGAAACACCUGAACUUGGAUGCCUGAGGGCUGGUAAUCCACUUGCACUAUUCUGUUAGAAUACUUAUUAUUCAGAGUGUAAGCAUUGCCUGGGGUCCUGGAGGCUCCUUGGAACUUUGAAACACUCUAAGACCCAAGUUUGACUUCUAAUGUCUGCUUUUCAUUUUCUUGGACCAAACAAAGGGUCAUGGGUGUGCCAGUCCAUGCCCAUGACUGAGUAUGACCACCCUCUGUUAUGGCUCCAUCUCUCACUUUGCAAUCAUUCCUAGUUCUAUGUUCUGCCCUCCUUUAGCAAGCCAUGCUUUGGGACCCUGGAGUUCCCUCUAAAAGUGGAUUCUUGAGGGAUGGUAAUUCAAUACUGCGCUAUUCUGUUACAACAAUUGUUAUUCAGAGUAUAAGCAUUGCGUGGGGCUCUUGAAGCUCCUUGUAACCUUGAAACACUUUGAAUAAGAGAAGGCCUUGGAAUUUGGAAUCCUGAUUUGGUGAAACACAUGUUAUUGGAUAUUAAAAUUGAAUUAGGCUGCUUUGAUCUAGCUGUAUGCUGUAAUUUAUUAUUGUUUACCUUCUUUCUCCGGGUUAUGUAAUAAUCUUAUAAAAAAACUCUGUGAAAGUAUUAGUGAAGAGGAUGGGGGGGGGGGUUUACUUUAUUUCAAUAAUGGUUGAUACCAUGCCUAUAGGUUUGUUGUUACUUAAUCACUUAGAUAUCAUGCCUAUAGGUUCAACGCUUAAAAUCACCUAGAGAUUAUGUCUAUAGGCUUUUGCACUUUCUUAACUCAAUCAUUUAGAAAUCAUGUCCAUAGGAAUUAAUAUUCAGUCAUGGUGCAAAUCAUUAGAAAUCCUACCAAUAGGACCUACUAAUCAACUAAUUGCAUAUAGAUAUCAUGCCUGUAGGAAAUGCAUGAAACGUUAGGCAAACCAUAGGGUAAUCAAAUACUUAUUUUCUUAACGUUUAAUAACGGUAAAGAGUCUUAAAAAAUCAAGAUACAUAUAUCAUGCUUACAGGGUUUCAGACUCGCCUAAAUCUGUGUAAGUAAUAACUUGGCCAUUUGCUUUAGCAUUUUCAAACAAAGCUCGUCCAAACUUGUCUGCAAUUUUCCAAACUUGUAUUUUCUUUUUCUGAAACGUUUUUCAACUCUCUACCUAAAUUUUUAUUCGUCUCAUGAAGCUCUCUUUAAAAAAAUAAGUUUAAAACUUACUCUUCUUUUAAAGCAUUCUUACUUCUCAGAAAUCUACUUUACAAUCCAGUGUACCUUUACUUAACAAUUCUGCUGAUUUUUCAAGACCUCUCUUAACUUCUGUAAUUUCUAACCUUCUAUUUUAAACUCUUCUACUUUAGGUUCUUAAUCAGUAUCUUGUACGAAAUACCUCAAUCUCUGACAAUUGGAUCCGAGUUGCCUAAUGCAGACCUUUUAUCCAACUUUAUAUGUUAAACUAAUCUGUCAACCUUUUAAUUUUGUCAGUCUCCUCAUCAGCAUCAAACUAGUAAACUGGGGCAGAAAUUUUGAGGGGGGUCCUUAAAAUUCUGGAAUCAAUCCGUGUUCAGUCGUUCAGUAUAGCCGUCAGAAGUGCCAGCCUAAUAAACUGGGGCAGAAUUUUGAGGAGGACCCUCAAAAUUCCGGAACUAACAAGGUUACUGUGUCUUGAACCACCUUGUAGUUGUUGUUUAAUCCAAAAUAAAACUUUUUUUUUCAAAUUUAUAUUUGCAUUAUAUUUACCAAAUCAUGCAAAAUAUCAUUUGCAUUGCUGUUGUUUAGCAACGCUACCCCAAGGAUACGUGACGUCAAGAGCCAAGGGAUACGAAGUAAACUUUCCCCUCUACAGAAAUCACAAUUUUUCUUUGAAUGCAGGCACCCCGGGUUGCAAAUCAUCGAAUACAUUCACACACUCGUACUAUUCAGGAUGGAAGAACGAUCGCUCAUUCGUAAAUUUACUAUCUACACCCAAAUCCCCAGCAACCUUGAUAUCACAAUCAUCUAUUAGCCAAGAGAACUUACUACUAUUAAUUUCUUUACAUUCCUAGGGCUAUUUUCUGCCUUAUGAGGUUAAGCUCUACCUCUAUCCUGCAUAAGGCUACUUAUCUGCCUUUUGAGAGUAAGCUCUGUCUCCAUCUGCAUUUUGCAUAAGGCUAUAUUCUCCCUUCCGAGGUUAAGCUCUACCUCCCUCCUAUAUAAGGCUACUUAUCUGCCUUUCGAGACUAAGCUCUGUCUCCAUAUUCAUUUUGCAUAAAGCUAUUUUUUGCCUUCCGAGGUUAAUCUCUACCUCCCUCCUGCAUAAGGCUACUUAUCUGCCUUGCGAGACUAAGCACUGUCUCCAUCUGCAUUUUUUGCAUAAGGCUACCUUUAUUCCUUUCGAGACUAAGCUCUGUCUUCAUCAUGCAUUUUGCAUAAGGCUAUUCUCUACCUUCCAAGGUUAAGCUUUACCUCCAUCCUGCAUAUGGCUACUUAUAUGCCUUUCGAGACUAAGUAUUAUCUCCAUCUAAAUCCCAUAAGGCUCUAUUUGCCUUUCGAGACUAAGCAUUGUCGCCAUCCUGCAUGGCUGAAAUAUCUUUACCUGCAUUUAAAUUCUCAUUUCGGCUGAAAUAUCGCCAUCUGUAUUUAAAUUUUUUGCUUUGGCUGAAAUAUCGCCACCUGCAUUUUCAAUUCUCGCUCUGGCUGAAAGAUUGCCAUCCCUUUGCAUUCAAUUGGUAGAAAGAUUGCCACUUUUUCAUGGGCUGAAAGAUCGCCAACUUGUUCAAAGACGUCAUAGUUUGGAUACACCAUCUGCAUAGCCCUAGAACACCAUUUCAUGGCUUGUGAAACUUUACUUUUAUGCUUUUCAUGGCCCAGGACAUCAUAGUCCGAGGACGUCAUCCUAACCGUCCAAAGACAGCAUUCAUGGUCCAAUGGGAACAUGCAUCACAUUUACAUUAUGCACAAUAUAUAUGUGCACAUUGCUCAUUUACAGGUACACCAGCUAGCAAACAUCCGUCUCAGCAAGAGAGCUCCCGCUCCGGUUCUCCGCAAUCUGUUCGACUUCAAAACCUUUCUCAAACUACACCAUCGCGUCCCUCUUUUCUAAUCUCCAUCAUUGGUUCCUGAACUACAUAUGGUGAUUCUUGUAAAAUCAGGAUAUGUAGGAAGCUUAGAAACCAGAGUACGAUCAAAAUUUUCUUACAAUCGCCGUUUCUGGUUAAAAUUGGUCAUCUUAUCUUUACCCGACAACUCUUUCAUCCUCCUCAGAUAAAGAGGGGCAGCUGUUGAUACCCAAUUUUACCCUAUAUAUUUUUAUAUAUACUCAAGUACUUUCAAAAUAGUAUAUGUAUGCAUAUAUAAGCAUGCCCAAAGGUUUUGGUAUUUUUCCUCAAUUUUAAUGGUUUUUACAAUUGAUUUAUUGUCUAUUUUUAACAGUAAAAAAUCCAAAAUAAUUCCCAAAUUAUCAUUUUUUGCAAAUAACAUAUUUCAUUCUUAUAUUUACGACAAAAUAUAAUUAAUUUGAUUUUUGCAUAUUUUUACAAAUUUAUUUGGAGUUUCUAAAGCUAAAUUGUAUGAAAUUACAAUUAUAGCCUAUGUUACAAUUUACCAUAUUUUACAAUUAUAAAAUCAUUUUUAGCUAUUUUUAUUAAUUAAAAAAGGAAAAUGGCUAUUUAAAAGCUGGCCCCAUUGAUUUCAAAUCUGACCCAAAUUGCACCCUUAAUUAACCCCAAUUUCAACCUCUUAAUCGACAACCCAAUUUUAAUUUCAACUGGCCCCAAACCUGUUUGACUAACUUGUCCGCUUCCCAUUUUAAAUCCCGGCCGUUGAUUGUUUAAUCAACGACCCUCGUUCACACUUACCAUUUUUAAUUCCCAAACUAAAUAACCCUAAAUUAUAUCCAACAAAGUAUCCACCCCAUAUUCCCUCAUCUUCAAAUUCUCUCUAACACUCGAAACCCUAGCCGCCUAUAUCGUCGUCUCCGACCAGUUCUCACCGGAGUCCAUGGCUUCUCAGACCAUGGACAACCUGUGAUCAUUAUUGCUUCUACUAGUUUCUACAUGUAUGAUUUACAUAUUUAUCUUGCAUGUCCUUUACUAUUUCUCCUACUGAGAUUGAUUGCCUUUAAUGGAUUCGUUUGGUUUCUAAACUUGUUUCAUUUACUGCUUCUUAAAAUUCUAUGGCAUCUCUUCUCUCUUCUGACUUCACUUGAGUUCUUUGCUUUCUCUUAAACUUUUUCUUUACAAUUUUGUCACCAUACCGCUUGUGACUUACAACGUGUGUUUGUGUAUUUCCUCAAGGAACUCUAAAUGAGUUCCCUAAGCUUAUUGUGAGGGAUUGUCCUUCUUUUAUGUGUCCUACUCGAAUUGAAACCCUGUGUCUAAGAUUUUUUGCGAGUUUUGAUUCUAGGGUUCUACUCUAGAAACCCUGUGCUUCAAACUCGUGCUGAGUUUAUAAACUGAAAUGAAACUUGCUUUUACCUUAUGGUUUUGAAAAUGUUUAUGCUGAUCUUUUCUUUCUUGCUUGACGCUGGUAUGCUUUAUAUGCAAGGGUUUCCCUCUGAAUUGAUUCUGUUAACUUAUUAUCGAUGUCAAUCUCCCUUUACUAAGGCUCGAUUGAUUUGCUACUUAUUUUUACAACUUCACCUCUUCCCCUCUUUUCCUGACUAAGUUCAGUCAAGACUUUUCAAUUUUCGGCUGUUUGAUUACUUUAUUUCCUUAUUCUUUCAAAAUCGUGUAGUAUAGGCUUCUUACCUUAAAUACUUACCCUUAUUAUGCUACUCCGAAAAAGUUCUCAUUAUUUUCCUUUCCUUAAUUACUCAUUCCCGUUUGAAAUCAAAUCCCUCUAACUAAGGGUGAUCCUAUUUGAUUGAUUGAAAUUUUAUUUCCUUGCCUUUAGUUUACUCGUUUUUUGCACUAUAAAAAGAGACAACCUUUUCAACUCUAGAAAGUUCUCAACAGAGUUCUUUCUGCACCUUUGCUAUAAUCUCACACUUUAGAAAAUAAAAAAUACUUCUUUUUCAAUACUGAAUAACAUUUCCCUCUCUACUACCAAUCUCUUUACUAUUUCUUUAUCUACUAUUACUACUACUACUGAACACUCUGUUCAUUUCUCUCCUACUGUCUGAAUAUUCUUGAGCUCCUCCGAACUCCCAAGUGCUUGCUGAAGUUUUUGAGUUGUUCCUGUUAAUUGACUGGCUCCCUACUUGUUGUUGUUUCUCUGUUGUAAUAGAAUUGCAACUGGUAUGUAUUUCUAGUUAAAUAACACUCUCCAACUAUGUGUGUUCACUUCUCUUCUUCAACACAUUCUUCACUAUGUGUUUAUGUCCUGUAGCUGUAGCAUGUUCUAUUCUUUCUUCUAUGUAUUCAGUCUGCUAUGCUUUCUUAUAUUUUCCUUAACGUCAGUGUAUGUUUUUUGUAUGGAAAUCCCUUCCCUCUAUUCCCUUUUGUGUGUGUGAGUAACACAUUCUUCACUAUGUGUGUUUAUGUCCAGUACCUGUAGCAUGUUCUAUUCUUUCUUCUAUGUCCUUGCAUCUUCAAUCCGCUAUGCUUUCUUAUGUUUUCCUUAAUGUCAGUGUAUGCUUUUGUAUGGAAAUCCCUUCCCUCUAUUCCCUUUUAUGUGUAAGUACUGUUAUGAACCAUGGCAGCACCUUAUAUUGCUGUCCAUGAUCCAGAACUAGACUCUAUUGAGUAUCUACUCAAAUGCUUUCCCAUUCCCUCUCCCCUUUAUGUGUUGAUAUUUAACUUGGGUCUGGUAGUGUCCUAAUCACCACUCAGACCCUAAGUUUGACUCCCAGAGUAUAAUCUUAUUUGUUUGAGCUAGGCAGUGGGUUAGGGGUGUGCCAGCCAGUGCCAUGGCUGGGUAUGACCACUCUCUGCUAUGGUUCCUCUCUCACUUUUCACUCAUUCCUAGAUUCCUAAGUUCUACCCCCUUUGGUAACCCAUGCUUUGGGACUCUAGAGUUCCCUCUGAACUUGGAUGCCUGAGGGCUCGUAAUUCCACACUUGCACUAUUCUGUUAGAAUAUUUAUUAUUCAGAGUGUAAGCAUUGCCUGGGGUCCUGGAGGCUCCUUGGAACUUUGAAACACUUUGAAUAAGAGAAGGCCUUGGAAUCUGGAAUCCGGAUUUGUUGAAACACAUGUUAUUGGAUAUUAAGCUUGAAUUAGGCUUCUUGGAUCUAGCUGUAGGUUGUGAUGUAUUAUUGUUUACCUUCUUUCUUCUGGUUAUUUAAUAAUCUUGUAAAAAGAACUCGGGGAAAGUAUUAGUGAAGAGGAUGAGGGGUUUACUUUAUUGCAAAAAGGGUUGAUACCAUGCCUAUAGGUUUGUUGUUACUUAAUCACUUAGAUAUCAUACCUAUAGGUUCAAUGCUUUAAAUCACAUUGAGAUUAUAUCUAUAGGCUUUUUCACUUUCUUAACUCAAUCAUCUAGAAAUCAUGUCUAUAGGAAUUAAUAUUCAGUCAUGGUGCAAAUUAUUAGAAAUCCUCCCUAUAGGACCUACUAAUCAACUAAUUGCAUAUAGAUAUCAUGCCUAUAGGAAAUGCAUGAAACGUUAGGCAAACCGUAGGGUAAUCAAAUAAUCAUUUUCUUAUCGUUUAAUAACAGUACAGAGUCUUAAAAAAUCAAGGUGCAGAUAUCCUGCCUAUAGGGUUUCAGACUCGCCUAAAUCUGUGUAAGUAAUAACUUGGCCAUUGGCUUCACCGUUUUCAAACAAAGCUCGUCCAAACUCGUCUGCAAUUUUCCAAACUUGCAUUUUCUUUUAUUGAAACGUUUUGCAACUCUCUGCUUGAAUUAUUAUUUGUCUCAUGAAGCUCUCUUUCAAGACAAGUUUCAAACUCACUCUUCUUUUAAAGCAUUCUUACUUCUGAAAACUGUACUUUACAAUUUUAGCGUACUUUUACUUAAACAAUUCUGCUGAUUUUUCAAGACCUCUAUGAACUUCUGUAAUUUCUAACCUUUUAUUUUAAACUCUCAUGCAUUAGGUUUUUAAUCAGUAACUUGUAUAAAAUACCUCAACUUCUGACAAUUGGAUCCGGGUUGCCUAAUGCAUACCUUUUAUCCAACUCUAUGUGUUAAACUAAUCUGUCAGCCGUUUAAUUUUUAAAACCAAAUCAGUAUAUGCAAGACAUGCUAAACUAAUUGCUAUGUGAUUUAUGGGGUUUAUAUGAGAUUUUCGUGUGUUUAUUUUAUUUCCCAUCUAUCUGCUAUUUGUUUUGAUUAACGCCCUAGGAUUUUAUCCUUUUGAAACUCCAUGUAUACCUAUACUGCCUUGCCUCCCCCUUAGGAUUAGAAGUCCUAAAACCCCAGAACUGGUAGGUUGGGACGGGUAUUAGCAUGCAACAAUUAAACGAGACUAAUCGUGUUUAAUACCUUAACGAGGUGGAAGGGUAGAAUAUGGAUAUGAUGACUGGUGCGCUAAUAUCUCGUGUGAGAAUUAUUGCUAGGUAUUGCACCAAGGUGAUCCAUAUUAUAUUUAAACUUAGGACCCUUUUUCUUUAUUUAUAUGAAGGGAUGUUUUCUUAAAAGUUAAUGUUUUUCCAAGAUCACGUAUGUCUUUCUUAUUUCAAAAUUUUCAAAUUAUUUGGAGUCCCUAUAUGCAAACUCUGUGUGUUUCUUUCUACUCUCCUUAAAGUCACAAUUAAGCAUGCCCGGGAAUCACACUAAUGGAUCUUGAGGGGUUCCUAACACCUUCCCCUCGAGAUAAUUUCAAGCCCUUACCCAAACUCUGGUUUUCUUUUAAUAACCUUCUUUUUUUCUUAGAAAGUGUCCUAAUGCACUAUAAUCAUUAGGUGGCGACUCUUCAAAUUCCAUAACCCGAUUCUUCAAAAGGGAAUAAGAGUUGUUUUGUCCAUAAUGUCGUAAACCCGAUUUCGCCUUAGAAAAAGGGGCGUCGACACCUGGACUCAAGUACCUCUUCAUCUAUUGUAGUGUCGCAGACAUUUCUAGUGAUCUAAAGAUCAGUAGGCAACCCAUCCAGACAAGGCCACCUCUGCCUUGUAUUGUCAUCAUAUCCCUGACUAGGGAUUUCUAGAAUCUUGCCCAGAUUCGCAGCGUUGAACUUCACUUUGACAGCUUUCUUUAUGCUAGUCACAACCCAUACCUCACUGUCCCAUUUGCCAUAAAAUCUACAAGUUCUUUUCUAGCCAACUUACCAUCCAUAUGAAGGACUAUGUCCUUCCACCCCUGUGCUUCUACAACAGCCACAUGUCUCAUCAUACUUGGCUCCUCCAGGUGUUUGAGUAGUCUUCCUUUUAAGAGUUUCCUCUUUCCAAACAUGGAAUAUCCCCCCUUUUCUUUUUCUGACUCUUCUUCUUCAUCCUCACUCCACUCAUCAUCCUUUUCUUCAGUUAUCUUCACUUAUUUUCCUUUUACAGUUGACCUAUUUCUCUUGGCAAGAACAGGGUUCAGCAGAUACUUGCUUGGAGGGCCUUUUGGCAGAAGUCGUGGUUCCCUUUGAUUUGGUAAUGGGAACAUCCAUAGUAGUACUCUUUUCUAGAUGGACCUGCUACAUCUCAUUCUUCUUCCUCUUCAACCACAUCCUCAGAACUUUUACCUGUCUUUGCUUUCCCUUUCUCUUUCCUCUUUAUCUUAAUUUCUUCUAAAGUUUUCUUCAACUCUGCUUCACUCUCCCUAACCCUACUUCUAGUGGCCCUAAUCCUAGGAGCAGACUUGGGUGAUAAAGUGUUGCUUUUCUUGGUUGGUUUGGACGGAACAUGGGUCCUUUGUGAGGAAGCCUUGCGUUUCUUUGGGUCAUAGCUAGACCCCACUUUCUUCAAUAAAUCAGCCAAGUUCUCUUCCCCAGAUGAACCAGGUUCAUCUUGUUGUUUGCUCAGAUUCACCAAACCCUCAGCGACCUCACUUGAUCCACUUCCCCUGACUUCGAGACUCCCUCUUCCCCACUCCAACAUAUUGCUAAACACUCCUUCUUCUUUUUUUUUCCUCAUUUCCCAGAAUCAGUCCCACCUACAUCUCUAGCAGCCCCUAUUAGAACAAAUCUAUUUUCCUCCUUCUGAACUAUAUCAGAAAAAUAAAGCAUGAUUUUACCUCUUCUUGGGUUUCUUGAGUUUUGGGAUUUUCAGAGGACCCAGGUUCAUCUCCUUCGGCGGAGAUGUAGUAAUCAUAUUCAGAGUUAGAAUUGGUCUGCUUUGCUGAAACUUCUUUCUUUUGAAUGGACUGUAGUUUUUCAUUCAAAGCUUUCCUCAGAGAACUAGUAGCUACAGUUUUUCUUGCUAGAAUUUUCUGGAGAUGGAAUCUUGGUUUUAGGGUUUUCACUGGUGGUGUGGAAGAUGAUGUGGUGUUAGGUGAAACAGGUGGUGUAGUGCUAGGAUUGUCUUGGGGAUUUGUCGUGGUGAAGAAUUUCUGGAAACCCUAAGGGAAUUUUGGUGGUAUGAAGAAUUUUGGAGAAUGUUUCAGAGGAGAGUGGAUAAUCAGGGGUUUUUGUGAAGAAUUGAAGGUUAUUGAGUGUUUUGGGGUUUUAAAAGAGGGUAAUGAUUACUUAGAAAUGAUAGCUUUUUCAGAGGUCUUGUAGUAAUCACUUUAGAGUUCUGGUCUCCUUAGUUAUUAAUUAGGAUUGAUCAUAUUUAGGACAGGGUUCCGUUAUACUUAGACUUCUAGUUUCAAUGAAACUGAUUCAAUUUGCCCAACAGAGAGAAUUGUUAGGACGUUUGGUAUAUCUAGGACUCUUGCUCAGGUUGAUAAUUAAAUUUUUCUAAUUGUGCAAAGUUUAGAAAGAUACCUGAACUUUCUCAUGAGCAUAUAUUAAUGAACCAGGUUCUUCAAGUGAAACUUCUCUUGAUUAUGCCUCAAAUGUCAAAACAUAAGAGAUUAGUGAAUCGCAUAAACACAUGUCACAAGAGUAUACUAUUUACAGUAUAAGACUGAGUAGGAAUUAGUCUAAUAUUCACAAAAAGCUAAGAACUCCAAACCAAUUUAUUUUUCAACAUAUAAUUUUUUUUCAUUGUGCAUUCUGAACUGGACCAUUUAGGUGAUCUUAAUCAUCCCUAAUUCCAUCCUGUUCCUUUCAAAGUUUUCUCUACUCAGUGCCUUAGUGAAGAUGUCAGCUAUUUGUUUAUCAGUAGCACAAAGUUCUGUGGAGAUUAGCGCUUUCUCAUAGUUAUCUCUUAAGAAGUGGUGUCUAACAUCUAUGUGCUUAGUCCUUUAGUGAUGAACAUGGUUCUUUGUCAUACUAAUUGCACCGGUGUUAUCACAAAAUAUUGGUAUGCACCUCACUUUAAUUCCAAAGUCUACCAGUUGUUGCUUAAUCCACAGUAAUUGAGCACAAUAUGAAGCAGCAACAAUAUAUUCAGCUUCAACAGUAGAGAGAUCCACUGAAUUCUACUUUUUGGUAGCCUAUGAUACAAGAAAAGACCCUAGGAAGUGUGCCAUACCUGAAAUGCUCUUCCUGUCCACUAGGAAACCUGCAUAGUCAGCAUCAGCAUGUCCAAUUAUGUCAAAAUAACUACCUUUGGGAUACCACAGACACAGAUCAGUUGUACCUUUCAAGUAUCUCAAUAUUCUUUUGAUAGCUAUCAAAUGUGACUCCUUUGGAUUUUCUUGGAAACAAGCAAAAAGUCCUACACUGAAAACAAUGUCAGGUCUACUGGCAGUGAGAUACAAAAGUGAACCAAUCAUACCCCUAUACAACUUUUGAUGAACUGAUGAACCAAGUUCAUCAAUAUCUAGUUUUGUGGCAGUUGCUAUAGGUGUAUCUAUUUCUUUAGAUUCUUCCAUUUUAAACUUCUUGAUUAGUUCCUUUGUGUACUUCUGCUGAUGGAUCAUAGUUCUAUCUGGACUUUGUUUAACUGUAGCCCAAGAAAAAAUUGAGUUCACCCAUCAUGCUCAUCGAUGGAUCAUAGUUCCACCUGGACUUUGUAUAAUCUGUAGCCCCUAGAAAAAAUUGAUUUCACCCAUCAUGCUCAUUUCAACAUCAUGCUCAUUUCAAACUCACUUCCCAUUAGUUUAUCAAUGUCCUUACUUAAACUAUAUAUAGUGACCCCAAAUAUUAUGUCAUCUACAUAUAUUUGUACAACAAGAAGAUCUUUACCUUUUUCCUUUAGGAAUAAAGUGCUGUCAAUUUUACCUCUUUUGUACCCAUGCUCCUGAAAGAAUUUGGACAAUCUUUCAUACCAAGCUCUUGGGGCCUGCUUGAGACCAUAGAGAGCUUUAUCUAGCUUGUAUACAUGAUCAGGGCAUUCUUUGCUUUCGAAUCCUGGAGGUUGUUUCACUAUCACUUCUUCUUUCAGAUAGCCAUUUAGGAAGGCACUUUUGACAUCCAUUUUAUGAAGUGCGAAUUCCAUAUGUGAUGCAAAGGCUAUGAGGAGUCUAAUUGCUUCAAGUCUAGCAACUGGAGCAAAAGUCUCAUCAUAAUCAAUACCUUCCUCUUGACUAUAUCCUUGUACCAGCAACCUUACCUUGUUUCUUGUAACUGUUCCAUCUUCAUAUAGUUUGUUCCUAAAGACCCAUUUUGUCCCAGUGACUGACAUGUCCUUAGGUCUUGCAACCAAAUGCUAGACUUGGCUUCUUUCAAACUGAUUGAGCUCAUCUUGCAUAGCAUUGACCCAAUUUGCAUCCUGUAGAGCUUCACUCACAUUUUUAGGUUCAAUGAGGGACAGGAAGGCAUUAAAUGCACACAUGUUCUUCAAUUGUGAUCUAGUAUUGGCUCCAGAUGUUGGAUAAUACAUGAUGGUAUCAAUGGGAUGAGAACUCAAGUACUUGUAAGAUUUCCCCACUUGCUGGUUCCUGCUAGAUGCUCCUUCAUUGUUGUAGUGCAGAGGAAUAGGUUCCUUAAGAGAAUUUUGUUCAGUUUCUCUCAGAUUGGUUCCUCCUGUCAGGUUGCCCUGGGUGGAAGGACAUGUUCCAUCACCUGCUCCUUCCUUUGAUGCCACCUUGACUUGUGCUGUUCCUUCCUCCUGUCAGGUUGCCCUGGGUGGAAGGACAUGUUCCAUCACCUGCUCCUUCCUUUGAUGCCACCUUGACUUGUGCUGUGGCUUCGGUCAAUUUUUUCACUAGUUCGAUGGCUUCAUCUUCAUUUUCCUGUCUCUCAGAAAGAGUGUUAUAUUCAUCAAACACAACAUGUACACUUUCAUCAACACACAAAGUUCUUUUAACAAACACUUUAUAUGCUUUGCUAUGUGAAGAAUAUCCCAAGAAUACUCCCUCAUCACUUCUGGGNNNNNNNNNNNNNNNNNNNNNNNNNNNNNNNNNNNNNNNNNNNNNNNNNNNNNNNNNNNNNNNNNNNNNNNNNNNNNNAAACUCCCUCAUCACUUCUGGGAUCAAACUUACCUAGGGAGUCUUUUCCAUUAUUGUGCACAUAGCACUUGCAACCAAAAGCCCUAUGAUGGGAAAUUUUUGGUUUUCUCCCUUUAAGUAACUCAUAGGGAGUUUUCUCUACAAGUGGUCUAGUCACACAUCUAUUUAUUAUAUAACAAGAAGUGUAUAUAGCCUCUUCCCAGAAGCUAUGAGGUAGUUUACUGGAAAGAAGCAUGGUCCUUGCCAUAUUCUUAAGGCUCUUGUUCUUCCUUUCAACUACCCCACUUUGCUUAGGGGUCCUAGGGGCAUAGAAAUUAUGAUCUAUUCCAUUUUCAUCACAAAAUUCAGCAAACUUUGUAUUUUCAAAUUCAGNNNNNNNNNNNNNNNNNNNNNNNNNNNNNNNNNNNNNNNNNNNNNNNNNNNNNNNNNNNNNNNNNNNNNNNNNNNNNNNNNNNNNNNNNNNNNNNNNNNNNNNNNNNNNNNNNNNNNNNNNNNNNNNNNNAACAAAAGUAGUGAACAUUUCAAAUGCUUCAUCUUUAGAGGUUAGAAACAACACCCAGGUAAAUCUAGAAUAAUCAUCAACAAGAACCAUUGCAUAUCUUUUACCACUUCUGCUCAUGGCUCUCAUUAGACCACAUAGAUCUAUAUGAACCAGUUCCAACGUCUUGGACGUACUUACCAUUUUCUUGGGUUUGAAGGAUAACCUUACCUGCUUCCCCCUUGCACAUGCCUCACAAACUUUGUCUUCUUUGAACUUGAUAUUAGCAUUUUCUUGGGUUUGAAGGAUGACCUUACCUGCUUCCCCCUUGCACAUGCCUCACAAAAUUUGUCUUCCUUAAACCUGAUAUUAGGUAACUCUAUCACCAAUUCUUUGGAGACUAAUUUGUUCAAUUGAUUUAGACUGGUAUGACCAAUUCUUUUGUGCCAAAGGAGGGGAUCAUUAAUUAACACAUUUAAGCAAGUGAGUUAAUUUUCAGAGAGAGUUCACAAAUCUACAAUGUAAGUAUUUUUAACUCUUCUUCCCUACAAAACAAUAUAUGUCAGUAGUAAGGCUAAUCACAAAACAUUUUGUGGAAGUUAAAGACACAAGAUUACCUUUGUCACACAGUUGUGACACACUUAUCAGGCUAUAUUUUAAGCCAUCUAUUAAAUAGACAUUCUUAUUGGAAUGAGAGUUUGUUUUUCCUACCUUUCCAACUCCAAUGAUCUCACCUUUCUUUCUAUUUCAAAGGAGACAUUACCUCAUUUUAGGUUCUCAAGUGAAAGGAACUGGUCCUUGUUACCAGUCAUAUUACAACCACUAUCCAUGUACCAUAUUUGGCUACUUCCCUUCAUUUGGACCUGCAAAAAGAAAUCAUUGGUUAGUUUUAGGAACCCAAACUAGUUUGGGUCACUUUCUAUGGGUAAAAGGAUGAAUUAAAUUUUUCUUCGCCAAACCAGGCGGUGUGUGUUUUUCUUGAACAAAUACUUUGUUCUUUUAACUGGCCUUUUCUUUUGCAUUGUAUUUAUUCUUGUUAUGGUCAGUCUUACCACAGUGUGUGCAGAUCUUAUUCUCAGGAAGUGUAAGGUACUUGUUUUUGGGAUCCCAUUUUGGAGCUUGUAUCCCAAAUGCAAGUCCUCUCUUAUUUCUACUAUGAUGUUCUUGCAGUCAAGAGAGUGCAUCAGAAUCAUUGUUCCAUUGGCAUAUUCUGUCUAGUUCGUGCUUCACCUUUCCUAAAUCUUCUUUAAGGACUUUAAUCAAUUUAUCUUUCUUGUACAGUUCAUCUUUCAUUUUUCCUAGAUUUUCUUCUAGGGUGAGAAAUGUUGAUUAGCCUUUUUCUUUCCUGUUCCUAAUUUCAGUUUAAUAUUUUCUGAUCUAAAUUCUUGGACCUUAUUUUCAAGUUGAUGAAACUGGUUCUUCAACUCAGUAUUUCUGUUGUCAGUCUCAUCAGCCCUAGACUCUAACCUUUUGCAUUUUUCUUCUAGGAUAACACAUUGCCAGACAGAACAUCCUUCUCACUGUUUAUUAUUUCAGUCUCAUCUAUGAAGUCCAACAACAACUCAAUAACCUUUUCUUUAGAUAAGAACUUAAUCUUUUCUUUAAGAUGUAGAAUACUUACCUCCUGUUCAUCUUCUGAUUCUCCAGAAGCCACAAGAGCUUGCUCAUCUUCAGCUUCAUUUUCGGAGUCCUCAUCUCAUAUUUCUCCCCAUGCAGCAACCAUAACAUUAGUUGAUCCUUUGUUCCUUCUUGGUUGAACCUGUUCCUUCUUCAUGUUUCUUCUAUCUGUCCUUUCUUUCUUCCAUUCAAUCUCCCAUUGAGGGCAACUUCUAAUCUGGUGAUCAGUCUUCCCACACUUGUAACACCCCUCAUUAGUUUGUUUUUCAGGAGCCCUAGGUUUGUUGAAUGUUGUUACUUUUGAAGGACCCUUUCCUCUCAUAAGAUACUUCUUGAAAUCCCUGAUUAUGAUAGCCAUUUAAUCAUAUCAAGAUAUGAUCCUUCUGAGAUUCUGAGAGACAGACUUCUUUCUUUCUUUGGAGCAUCCAUCUUCAUUGUCUACCCUCUCAAUUCAUAGGCAGUAAUAUUUCCAAUCAGUUCAUCCAAUUUAAAGAAGCAAUAUUUUUGGAUUCCUGAAUAGCUAUGAUUUUGCUUUCCCAGGAGAUUGGCAGAACUCUAGUUAGAAUCUUCUCCACCCUGUCUUCUUCGAGGAUAAUCCUUCAAAGAGACUCAAGUUCAUUUGUCAGUGUUGUGAACCUAGUAUACAUCUCUUGGAUAGUUUCUCCGUCCUUCAUAGUAAAAUUCUCAUAUUGAGAAUACAACAGUGUUCCUCUUUGCCUCUUCACCUGAGGUGUCCCUUCAUGAGCCACUUGUAAAGUGUCCCAAAUCUCCUUGGCAAUAUUACAACCUUGAAUCCCACUGUACUAGUCAGGAACAAGUCCACACACUAGCCAUUUCUUGGCUUUCACAUUUUUCUCCCACUUCUUUAGGUCUUCAGCAGUACAAUGUGCUCUUGUCUUUGAAACAUGUAAUCCUUCAGCGGUUUUCUUGGUUGUAGCCAAAGGACCAUCAGUGAUGAUACCCCAAAGCUUAUAGUCUUCGCCCAUGAUAUGGUCCCUCAUUCUGUUUUUCCACCAGGAGUAGUAGAGGCCAUUGAAAAGAGGAGGCCUGGCAGUAUAUUGCCCUUCCCAAUUCCCAGAUGGUGCACUCAUGUUAAUCUUUUCUUACGGUGUUAACCUCUUCAAGGAUAACCCGCUCUGAUACCAAUUGAUGUUAUAAACGUCAAUACCACACAAGAGGAUGUGGGGUGAUUUGUGUGGUACCUAAUUUUCGCGUUACAAGAACCAGGUUCUUCUAAGUGCUCUAACUACAACAGUUUGCGGAAUAAUAAAUACUGAAAGUAAAGUUCACAUAGAUUUUUACGUGGAAAACACCUGGCUCAAAAGGUGAAAAAACCAUGACCUACUACUCAGUAGGAUUUUCCCAAACUCCACUAAUAUCACUGAGCCAAACACAGCAUUUACAAAACUCUUUGUAAAUCUAAGGAUUAACUCUAAUCCCAGUAUGGCACAUAUCCUCAACUGUUGCGACACUUUCCAUUUAACUUUAACUUGAAUACUCAGACUACCUAAUACAAUUGCUUAUAAUAAAGCUGAAAGGUACAAUAUUAAAACCUACUACAAUUGAACUAGACUUAGAAUAAACACAAUGAUGAAACUAGUUCUUCUAUCUUAGUUCAUGUAGCUUCCGACGUGCACACUUGUAUCUCACAUAUAUUGCUUGCAAAUCAUACUUGCUCUUUUUGCUCUCAAAUAUGCUUAAAUUCGGUGUAUAUGCAUUGCUUGUAAAAGAGAACAACUUGGUUAUUUAAUAAAUUAGCACUUAGAGUUUGAUCGAGACUCCAAUGCUUAUCCUUAGUCGAUUUGAGUCCUUGACCAAUACAAACUCCAACCCUUAUCCUAGCUUAGGAUUAUGUUCUCUUAUCAUAAGAAGACUGUCCUCCUUAUAACUCAAUGCAAUCUUUUCAAUUCAGUUAAGAAGAUAUUUGCUGCGUGACCUUCAAUACAUAUCUUCCUCACGUGCCUUCCAUGUGCAAUGGUUAUGACUAACUGUGUCUCUCAAGAUUAACCAGGUCUGUCCCUGAGUUCAUUUGUCAAUCUUCAAAACUUAAACUGAACUUGGGACGAGAUUACAUAUUUGUGAUCCUUAGGUUAUCGGUAAUAACUUUCUUCAAAAAAAUUUAAAAUGUGGGCACGUGGGCCUGGGGAUGAGUUUUAGGAACCUUACAUUUAGGGUUUGGAAAUUGGUUUAAUAAUUUUAAUAUUGAUUUUUGUGGAUGUAUUGACUAGUUCUUACCCUAUUUGAAUAGUUUUGGAUUGUUCGGCUCUGAUUUGGAGGUUUGGGCGAGUUCUUGAAUUGGGAUAUAGGCUUUAGAGCGAGGCGAGUUUCCUUUCUAACAUUGAAAGAGAGAAUUAUCCCCAUAGGUGAAUUAAUUAGAUAUGUGCUUCUAUUUGUGUGUUNNNNNNNNNNNNNNNNNNNNNNNNNNNNNNNNNNNNNNNNNNNNNNNNNNNNNNNNNNNNNNNNNNNNNNNNNNNNNNNNNNNNNNNNNNNNNNNNNNNNNNNNNNNNNNNNNNNNNNNNNNNNNNNNNNNNNNNNNNNNNNNNNNNNNNNNNNNNNNNNNNUUGUGUGUUGGGGGGGGGGGUUACUACGUACGCAUGAGAUGACGAGAGUCCGUGCGUAGUAGGGGGGGGGGUUACUACGUACGCAUGAGAUGACGAGAGUCCGUGCGUAGCUACUAUUAUGCUUAAGUCCAGGUAGUUUAGGCCCCAAAGACAUGAUUUACUUGUAAUAUUUGCAAUCUUGUUGACAAUUUAAAAUGCUUAAGACAUAUCGAAUGUAUAAAUGAAUUUCUAAAAGACUAUUCAUCGUUUCUUGAUUUUUAAAAAAGGAGAAAUUUCCUUUUCUUGGAUAAUGCUCUUUGAUGAAUUCUUAUUUGACUAUUUGAAUGUGUUUAUACAUUGUGAAAUGGUCCGAACUCUUCGGUACCUUAAAAUGGGAAUUUAAUUAACUUAUUAGUGAUUGGCUUGCCUGACAAUGUUGUUCAACUCCAUCACGAUCCUUAGUGGAUUUUGGAUCGUGACAACAUGGUAUCAGAGCACUAGGUUCUCUUAAGUCUCACGAGUUAUGAACGAGUCUAGUAGAGUCUUGCGGAUCGGUACGGAGAUGUCUCUACUUCUCCUCGAGAGGCUACAUGGAUUUUAUGAGCACUUCCCUUCUUGAUUCCUCAUCGUGUGGUUUGAUUCCUUCUAGGCUUAUGCCCUUGUUUCUUUCCUACCCAAUCUAAUGCUACGCGAAGCGCUUAUUAUAAAUCGAGAAUUGAAUAAUUGUAAUGGUAUUACAGUUGUGGUGUAGGAUGUUUCUCCCUACAUAGUUGUUUGGCUAUUGUCGUCACCUUGCAGAAGGUCGUUGUGUUGUUUCAGCUCAGUAUUAGUGUUACUUAAGGUUUUGAGAUUUGGUAUCGAUGUUAUGAUGAUUCGUGCAUUGCUAUCUCCUAGUAUUUUGUGAUGGUAAGAUACUUACCGAUAUGUCAGGGUAGUGAAUGACCUAGAAGGAGGCCUACUCAGUGCAUGAUUUACAGACUCGGUAUUUUAUUCUCGAUGGAGGGAAGGCAACCAAACUGUAAUUUAUUAGGAUUGGGUCAAUGUUUCUAAUGUCAACGGCUGGAGAAAAUAUGAUCCUCGGAGAAGUAUAAAGUUAGUAGCGGUCUAUUGGUUCAAGUGCUACGGAGACAUAUAUUGAUCUAAGGCAAAAAUCGGGCGACAAAGGAUGAGAAAGGACAUGUGGUAAGUGUCAUGCGGUGGUUAAACUUCUAGAAGGCUAGGUGUAAGAAGCAGAAGUCGAGUAGUUUCUUAAAGAAGUGAGUUUUCCCAAAGUGGGAGAGUGGAAGUAUAACAUAUGGGUUCAGUGGUAGGAUAACUAUACACCUUGAGGAAAAGUUAGAGUGGCUUAGGAGUUUUAGUGGAUGGUGAUUUGGUUUAGGAGCGUAAAUUAAAAUAUUGGCUAGCAUACGAUGUGAUAUUUGAUAUGACAGAAAGGAGCUGCUUGAUAUGAAGAAGGAUACAAUAUAACUUUGAAAUGGGGAGAUAUUAUCAUGUAAUUUAGUGGAUGUCCAUGAGUAAUGAACGGAUUUGUUCAGCUAGUGAUGAGCAUGGACUCAAAAUGGGUUACUGAUUUCGUAGUAAUGGUGCAUUGCAGCAUUGUUGGGAGAUGACGACAUGUAAUUUCCACAAGGGGUUAUCUCGUAUGAGCAGAGUAGCGGUCGUGUGGUUGGCGAUGCUUCUGUAAAGAAUCUUACUAGCUAUCCAGUAAGAAGUCAAAUAUGUGAAUAUUGCUAGAGAAUUAGAGUGUUCAUGAAAUUCUAACGGAAGGAUUGCAAGGAAUUUGGUGGUGGAUAUCACAAGGUAAUGUAAAUGAGAGAUAAAGAAUCUUCGUGGGUUCUAGAGUUGUGUAAUAGUGGCUUCAAGCUAAGUGGGAGAGUCCCACUGCCUACGGUUGGAUUGCAUGGUCGUCUAUUUAUGGGAUUUCUAGUUUUUAGCAUAUAGGUGGGUUAUUUUAGCUAAGGUAAAGGGACAUAAGAGGUAAAUUCAACAAAGAAUUGUUAAAUGUGUGACAUAGUUGGGCUUAUUGACUCAUAUUCAGAGUUGGGGAAUGAUUCAGGAUUUAUGCUUUAUGUAGCUACGGGAUUCAAGGAAAGUGAAUUGGCCAGGUGAUUCGUCGAGAGGGUCUUCAUGUGCUAGAAGAUUCAUGGAAUUGAUUAUAUUGGGGAUGGAUUGGUUGUCACCUUAUCAUGCUAUAUUGGACUGUCAUGCCAAGACUCUGACCUUAGCAUUGUUGGGGUUGCCUCGUUUGGAGUGGAGAGGGACUCUUGGUCAUUCUACCAGCAGGGUUAUCUCAUAUAUGAAGACUCAACGUAUGGUCGAUAAGGGGUGUCUGGCCUAUUUGGCGUAUGUUCGUGAUUCUAGUAUUGAGUUCCAUUCUAUGGGUUCUGUGCAAGUUGUUCGUCAGUUUCCAGAGGUACUUCCUGCAGAUAUGUCGGGGAUGCCACCCAACAGGGAUAUUAACUUUUGCAUUUAUUUGGCUCCAGGCACUCAGCCCAAUUCUAUUCUACCAUAUCGCAUGGACCCGCUAGAGUUGAAAGAAUUGAAACAAUAGUUGAAAGAUUUGCUUGAUAAGGGCUUUAUUAUACCUAGUGUCUUUCAUUGGGAUGCGCCUGCAUUAUUUGUUAAAAAAAAGGAUGGGUCCAUGGGGAUGUGCAUAGAUUAUCGGCAGUUGAACAAAGUCACCAUCAAGAACAAGUAUCCAUUGCCGAAGAUUGAUGAUUUAUUUGAUCAGCUUCAGGGUGCCAAGGUAUUUUCGAAGAUUGAUUUGAGAUCUGGCUUCUAUCGAUUGAGGAUUAGGGCAUCCAAUCUCCCUAAGACAGCUUUUCGCACAAGGUACAUGCAUUAUGAGUUCUUAGUAAUGUCAUUUGGGUUGAAAAUUGCCCCAACAACAUUCAUGGAUUUGAUGAACCGAGUGUUCAAGCCCUAUUUGGAUUCCUUCAUGAAUGUUUCAUUGAUGAUAUUUUGUUCUAUUCCCAGAACCGGGAGGAGCAUGAGCAACAACUUUGAGUCGUUCUUCAAACUCUGAGAAACAACUAGUUAUAUUCUAUGUUAUUGAAAUGUGAGUUUUAGUUGAGUUCAGUACCAUUCUUGGUCAUGUUGUAUCACCAAAGGGUAUUCAGGUGGAUCCCAAGAAGAUUGAUGCAUUCAAGGAUUGGCCUAGACCCACAUCAGCUAUAGGAUCCAGAGUUUCUUGGGUUUGGCGGGCUAUUACCAUCGGUUUGUGGAGAGGUUUUCAUCUAAUAGCCUUGAUGACCAGGUUAACCCAGAAGGGUGCCCGGUUCAGGUGGUCAGACGAGUGUUAGGUGAGCUUUCAGAUGCUCAAGACCACCUUGACCAUGACGCUUUCAGAAGCUCAAGACAGCCUUGACCACAACGCUAGUGUUGGUAUGAUCCAUAGGCUCGGGCCAUAUAUAGUAUAUUGUGACACACCUCGUACUGGAAUAGGUACGGUGUUGAUGUCGAAUGGCAAGGUUGUUGCAUAUGCUUUGCGGCAGUUGAAGAUUCACGAGAAGAAUUAUCCAGUUCAUGAUUUGGAGCUAGCAUCCAUUGUCCAUGCGCUGAAGAGUUCGAGGCAUUAUUUAUAUGGCGUGUCGUAUGAGGUAUUCACGUAUCACAAGAGUUUGCAAUACUUGUUCAAGCAGAAGGAGCUAAAUUUGAGGUAGAGGAGGUAGUUGGAACUAUUGAAAGACUAUGAUAUCACCAUCUUAUAGCAUCCUGGAAAGGCCAAUGUAUUGGCCGAUGCUUUGAGCAAGAAGUCAGCCAGCAUAAGCAGCCUUGCAUAUAUUUCGAUCGGUGAGAGACCGCUUGCUUUGGAUGUUCAGGCUGUAGCCAAUCAUUUUGUGAGGUUGGAUAUUUCUGAGCCUACCUGUGUUCUAGCUUGCACAGUCUCUCGUUCUUAAUUAUUUGAGCGUAUCAGAGAUUUGCAGUAUGAUGAUCCUUGUUUACUUGUCCUUAGAAACACAGUGCGACAUGGAGGUGCCAAGCAGGUUACACUUGGAGAUGAUGGAGUUUUGAGGAUGCAGGGUCAAGUUUGUGUGCCUAAUAUGGAUGCGCUUCAUGAUUUGAUUCUAGAGAAGACCCAUAGUUCCCGCUAUUCUAUUCAUACGAGCACCACUAAGAUGUAUCAGGACUUACAACAACAAUAUUGGUGGAGGAGGAUAAAGAAGGAUAUUGUUGCGUAUGUAGCUUGGUGUUUGAAUUGUCGGCAGGUAAAGUACGAGCAUUAGAGAUCUGGUGGUUUGCAUCAGAAGAUUGAGAUUCCUGAGUGGAAGUGGGAGCGUAUCACUAGGACUUUGUUUUUGGACUCCCACGGACUCAGAGGAAGUUCGACGUAGUAUGAGUUAUUGUGGAUAGGCUAAGUAAGUCAGCGCAUUUCAUUCCUAUUGAGGUUUCCUAUUCUUCUAAGCGGUUGGAAAAUAUUGAUAUCCGUGAGAUCAUUCGUCUUCAGGAUGUGCCUAUGUCUAUCAUUUCUAAUCGAGGUAUGCAGUUUACCUCACGUUUUAGGAGGGCAGUGCAUCUUGAGGUUGAUAUGCGAGUCGCGUUGAGCAUAACAUUUCAUCUUCAGACAAACGGACAAUCCGAGCGCACUAAUUCAAAUUUUAGAGGAUAUGCUCCGUGCAUGUGUUAUUGACAUUGGAGGUUUUUGGGAUUAAUUCUUGCCAUUAGCAGAGUUUGCCUACAACAAAAGUUAUCAGUCGAGCAUCCAGAUGACUCCCUAUGAAGCAUUAUAUGGUAGGCAGUGUCGGUCGUUGGUUGGGUGGUUUGAGCCGGGAGAGGCUCGGUUGUUGGGUAUAAAUUUAGUUCAGAAUGCCUUGAGUAAUUUUAAUAUCAUUCAGGAUAGGCUUCGUACAGCUAAGUCUAUGUAGAAGAGUUAUGCCGGCCGUAAGAUUCGUGAUGUGGCAUUCAUGGUCGGAGAGCGAGUGUUGCUCGGGGUAUUUCCCAUGAAGGAAGUGAUGAAAUUUGGAAAGAGGGGCAAGCUAAGCCCUAGUUUCAUCAGGCCUUUUGAGAUCCUUGAUAGAGUGGGAGAGGUGGCUUACAGACGUGCGUUGCUGCUGGGUUUAUUAGCUGUGCAUCCUGUGUUUCAUGUGUCCAUGCUUCGGAAGUAUCACAACAAUCCAUCCCACGUGUUAGAUUUCAGCCCUAUCCAGUUGGACAAGGACUUGACCUAUGAGGAGGAGCUGGUAGCUAUUCUAGACUGGCAGGUUCAUCAGUUGAGAUCUAAGAGUUACCCUCCGGUUCGUGUUCAGUGUAGAGGUCAGCUUGUCGAGGCAGCUCCCUAGGAGUCCUAGUCUGAUAUACAUAACGAUAUCCCCCUUCUUUUCACCGACUCAGGUACUUUUUCUAUGUCCGUUCGAGGACGAACUAUUAUUUUAGAGGUGGAGAAUGUGAUGACCUAAAAUUCAUCUCUUGUUUUAAAAGUCACAUCUGUGUUCCGAGGCCUUAGAAACCUCCUUUUGUCUCACCUCGAUUUGCAUGCAUAGUUCGGUGCAUAUCCGUAAACGAAAAUUUGAGAAAAAUUCUAAUUUUGUCUUUAAAAUUAAGUUCAAGUUGAUUUGGAUCAAUAUCUUAUGUAAACGGACCCGGACCCGUAUUUUGACGGUCCUGGAGGGUUCGUAGAAAAAUAUGGGACUUGGGUGUAUGCUCAAAUUUUAAAACCGAGGUCCCAGAAAUAAAUUAUUUAACUGGAAAAUAUAUGGAGCUUAGAAAUUGAAUAAUGUUUGAAUUUAAUGGUAUCGGGCCCGUACUUUAGUUCCAAAGCCCGGUAAAGGUUUAAUAGGGUAUUUAAAAUCUGUCUGUAAAAUUUCGUAAGAAAUAGAGUUUAUGUGGUGUGAUUCGGACCCUCGAUUUUGAAAAUAGUAACUUAAAGAAUUUUUGAGAUUUUCAUUGAUUUUGAUGCUAAAUUAGUUGUUUAAGAUGUUAUUUCGGCAAUUUAAUCGCACGAGUAUGUUCGUAUGAUAUUUUUAUACUUGUGUGCAUGUUUUGUUUGGAGCUCCGAGGGCUCGGGUGUGUUUCGAAUAGGUUUUGGGAUGUUUUGCACUUAGAGAUUUCUCCCGUUUUUCGAUUGCAAGUGCAAAAAUUUUUCCUUUUUUGAGUUCGUGAAGGAAAUCUUGCGAACGCGAAGAGUAAAAUUUUCUAAAGAAAGUGUCUUCUACGCAAACGCGAGGCACAGGUUUCGAACGCGGAGCAUUGGGGGCGUUACCCUUCGCGAACAUGACCUGGAUACCGCGAACACGACGGCCAUUUUUGCAGGGACCUGGGGAAGGGGUGAAAUACUCAUCGCGAAUACGACAACUGGAUCGCGAACGCGGAGGCUAGGGGGAAAUUCCUUCGUGAAUGCGCUGGGUAUCUCGUGAACGCGAAGGCCUUAGACCGCUGUGCAUUGUGAUUGCGAUAGGUCUCUCACGAACGCGAUGAAAACCUGUCCAAUGAAUUUAAAAUCGAACCUCGAUCGGGAUUAGACAAAAAUUUCAUAUCUUCUUCCAUAGAAUCUAAUUUUGGGCAAUUCUUUAAGAGGAAUUUCAACACCAAAUCAUAUGUUUGUGUUCUUAAACUCAUUUCUUUCACUUUCCAUCAAUACCCAUUAGAUUUCUAGGCCUAAAUCUUGUUCUUUCAUGGUAGAAUUAGGGAUUUUUUGAAGAAUUGGAGAUUUUACAAAAUUGGAAAUUUAGACCUCGAUUUAGUGUCAGAUUCUGAAACUAAAUAAUAUUUGGGCUCGUGGGUGAAUGGGUGAAUGUAUUUUGGUCCAAACCUUGAGUUUUGACCAAGCAGGCCCGAGGUCGUUUUUUGACUUUUUGGGAAAAAUGAUAGAAAACCUAUAGUUAAGAAUUGGAUUUGGAUUCUUUAGAAUUUCUUAAUGUUUUAAAGUUAAUUAUGGCUAGAUACAUGUGAAUUCGAAGUGGAAUAUAAGGGGAAAGCGGUAUAAGUGUGGUGAUGAGUAUAUAUGCGUUACUGUCGAGCAUGCCCAUGAUUCUUAUACUGUGACUGUUUAGACUCUUAUUGUUCACCGUCCAUGCUUAAGUUGAUGAUUAUCCAUGUUAGACAAGACAUGAUAAUUUCUUGGUAAUUGACUAUUGUUUAGUAUUGACUCAAGUUGAGAUUUAUGUUAUGAAGUUAACUGUUGGAGCGAGAUUGGUUACUGAUUCCCUUGCCGGGAUGUACUUGUUUCUAUUGUUGAUUCUCUUGCCUGGAUGUAUUUGUUUCAAUUAUUGGUUUCAUUGUCAGGAUGUUAUUGAUUCUACUGUUUGGGUGAGGAAAGAGUAAUACAUCACGAAAGGUGAUGCCUUUCACAUUCAUGCAUAUGCAUACGGUGAGAAAUAGUGAUAAAGCACGACGGGCGAUUCCGUGCACAUUUAUAUUUAUAAUGAUACGUAUUGUGAGCAAUAGAGAUAAAGCACGAAGGGUGAUGCCGUACAUAUUUAUACUAUUCACAUGGUGAGGAAGAGUGAUAAUGCCCGAAGGGUUAUGCAGUGCACAUUUCUAUUAUUGAUUGCGUCGUGAGGAUUGAGAGUAAAAACCACGAAGGGUAAUGUCGUGCAUUUUCUGUUUGCUGUAUUCAUUUGUUAUUAGUUGUUCAAGUGUUUUAACUGUUUAAUUCCUUUACUUAUGUAAUUCUUUAUGUUAAAACCCCCAUAGCAUGUUUCCCCUUCACGUACAUUUCUACUUAGUUAGUACUCGUUACUCUGUUACUAUACUGAUUAACUGCACAGAUUUAUGAUGUUUGUCAUGUCCUAACCUUGUCACUACUCCGCCGAGGUUAGGUUCGAUACUUACCAGUACAUGGGGUCGGUUGUACUGAUAUUUCACUAUGCACCUUUUGUGUAGAUCCCGCUACAGGACCAUACGGAUCGUAGUUCGAGG